This 512-nucleotide long non-coding RNA is filed under the name Coturnix japonica (Japanese quail). RNAcentral describes it as "lncRNA (ENSCJPG00005001079.1)". The record is from RNAcentral. Lineage: Eukaryota; Metazoa; Chordata; Aves; Galliformes; Phasianidae.
CCCCUUCAGAGCAGCAGCUUCAAAUGUAGAAGGAUGUAGGAACCAACACUCUUUUCAGAGGCUGGGUGAUUUGAAUUUUUCUCUUUUCUUCUUUGGUAGGAAAUGAGGAUGCAGUACUGACACCCAGCAGCAGUCAUGCGGAUGAGAUUCAGUUUUAAGCUAUGUCUACUGAAGUCCUGCAGAGCCUAUACUUCACGAAAAUAUUUCUGGUCUUGCAAAACAUGUGGAGGCACUUGCUAUUUUAAAUCUUUGCCUACAACAAGAGUGUAAGGUUAGUAUUGUUUAUAUUCCACGAAGUCAGUCUGAUUUUACAGACGCUUCUUUUGGUUUUGUUUUUCCGUGUUACUGCCUUGCAUUGAAACUUAAGAACAGAGCCUAUGUCCAGGAGAAAAUGUCUUCAAAAGCUAUAUUCUCUCAUUAUUGUCAGUUUUUUUCAGCUGAAUAAUUACCCACCAAAAGAAAUUCUAGAAUGAACACCAGCAUAAAUGACAAUAACUACUUGUUUGUGUGAG